RNAcentral lists this ribosomal RNA (585 nucleotides) under uncultured Legionella sp. RNAcentral's name for it is "bacterial SSU rRNA". It matches the Rfam family "Bacterial small subunit ribosomal RNA", at positions 224 to 826 of the family's 1533-position model. Lineage: Bacteria; Pseudomonadati; Pseudomonadota; Gammaproteobacteria; Legionellales; Legionellaceae. The record is from RNAcentral.
GAUUAGCCUGCGUCCGAUUAGCUCGUUGGUGGGGUAACGGCUCACCAAGGCGACGAUCGGUAGGUGGUCUGAGAGGACGAUCACCCAGACUGGGACUGAGACACGGCCCAGACUCCUACGGGAGGCAGCAGUCGGGAAUUUUGCUCAAUGGGCGAAAGCCUGAAGCAGCAACGCCGCGUGAGGGAUGAAGGCCUUCGGGUUGUAAACUUCUUUUCUCAGGGACGAUGAUGACGGUACCUGAGGAAUAAGCCACGGCUAACUACGUGCCAGCAGCCGCGGUAAUACGUAGGUGGCGAGCGUUGUCCGGAUUUACUGGGCGUAAAGAGCGCGCAGGCGGUCGUGCAAGUCGAGUGUGAAAGCCCCCGGCUCAACUGGGGAGGGUCACUCGAUACUGCUCGACUCGAAGGCGGGAGAGGGAAGUGGAAUUCCCGGUGUAGUGGUGAAAUGCGUAGAUAUCGGGAGGAACACCAGUGGCGAAGGCGACUUCCUGGCCCGUUCUUGACGCUGAGGCGCGAAAGCUAGGGGAGCAAACGGGAUUAGAUACCCCGGUAGUCCUAGCUGUAAACGAUGUCAACUAGCUGUUGG